GACGAACGCUGGCGGCGUGCUUAACACAUGCAAGUCGAACGGUAAGGCCCUGCUUUUGUGGGGUGCUCGAGUGGCGAACGGGUGAGUAACACGUGAGUAACCUGCCCUCGACUUUGGGAUAACGUCAGGAAACUGGUGCUAAUACCGGAUAUGAGCUCCUGCUCGCUGGGGGGGGUUGGGAAAGGUCUGCUGUUGGGGAGGGUGUGGCGGCUUCUCAGCUUGUUGGUGGGGUGGUGGCUUACCAAGGCUUUGACGGGUAGUCGGCCUGGUAGGGUGACCGGUCACAUUGCGACUGAGAUUGGGCCCAGACUCCGACGGGAGGCAGAAGGGGAGAAAACUGUACAAUGGGCGCAAGCCUGAGGCAGAGACGCAGCGUGCGGGAUGGAGGCCUUGGGGUUGGGAACCUCUUUGGCUCAUGCUUAAGCCGCAACAAUGGUGGUGGUGAGGGUAGUGGGUAAAGAAGCGCCGGCUAACUACGUG
This 480-nucleotide ribosomal RNA is filed under the name uncultured bacterium. Its description in RNAcentral is "partial 16S ribosomal RNA". It matches the Rfam family "Bacterial small subunit ribosomal RNA", at positions 28 to 507 of the family's 1533-position model. The record is from RNAcentral.